GUCUGGUGCCAGCAGCCGCGGUAACUUCAGUUCCAAUAGCGUAUAUUAACAUUGUUGCAUUUAAAAGGCUCGUAGUUGAAUUUAUUUUUAUAAAUUUUAUAUAAGUAGUAUUAUUUUAUAAUAAAAUUAUUUAAAUUUAUUUUUUAUAAUUUUAUUAUAUAUUAAACGGUAAUAUUAUUUAUAAUUUAUAAAAAAAUUUUAUGUUAUAUUAUUUAGUAAUAGGUAAUAUAAUAUAAAUAUUACUGUGAAAAAAUUAGAGUGUUUAAAGCAUGUAUAUAAAAUUAAAAAAUAUAUUUUCUGAAUAUAUUUUUUUAGCUUGAAUAUAUUAGCAUGGAAUAAUAAUAUUAUAAUAUUUUUAUAUUAUUCUGUUGGUUAAAUAUAAAAAUAUAUGAUUAAUAGGGACAAUUGGGGGUAUUUAUAUUUCAUAGUCAGAGGUGAAAUUCUGGGAUUUGUGAAAGAUAAACAAAUGCGAAAGCAUUUACCAAAAAUGUUUUCAUUAAUCAAGAACGAAAGUUAGGGGAUCAAAGAGGCUUAGAUACCCUCGUAG
This 547-nucleotide ribosomal RNA is filed under the name Opalinidae sp. RNAcentral's name for it is "partial small subunit ribosomal RNA". It matches the Rfam family "Eukaryotic small subunit ribosomal RNA", at positions 559 to 1023 of the family's 1831-position model. Lineage: Eukaryota; Bigyra; Opalinata; Opalinidae. The record is from RNAcentral.